Molecule: long non-coding RNA, 2235 nt
Organism: Myotis brandtii (Brandt's bat)
Lineage: Eukaryota; Metazoa; Chordata; Mammalia; Chiroptera; Vespertilionidae
Exons: 2
Source: RefSeq, a predicted model, not a curated record
ACUUUUUAAUGGAAACAACAUGACCAAAAAUCUGUCACAGAAUUUUGAGACCCAUUAAAAUAACAAAGUUUAAUGAGAAACCUGUGUGUUCUUUUGGUCAACACUGUAACUUUCUGUUAUACUACUUAGGUAAAAGACUUCAGAGUUGCCCAUGACCUAUUUCCAGUGUUAUAUCUGCUGAUAUUUACAAUUGGAUGGUUCUGUUAACAUUUUUUUCUGGGUGGGAACUUCGGGGUUUUUUGUGGGAUUUUUUUCCCCACUGAAUUGCCUGUCUCUUCAUGGUAAAAGCUAUGGGAAAGGGGGACUGUUGGUAUAACACUAAAUAGGUUAGGACAGGUAAGCAAAGAGUAACUUUUUGUUUGUAAGCUAGUUUCGAAAGGCCAAAUUCUGUAAAGGCCACAUGUUAACAUAAAAUUUUGUAGUUACAUCAAUAUUGAGUAAAUUUGUUGGUAUGUCAAAUUUUAGUUUUCCAGUUUUACUGGAAUGUGAAUUCACAUUUACAAAUGCUGAGGUAGUUUAAGAACCUAAAGUGAGGUUUGAAUAGUAUUGAGCACUGUCUUGCUGCAGUUAUUGUAUCCAAAUUCUAGGAAAAAUAAAUUGAUGGUAGAAUUUGAGUGUGUUUUGUCACUUAAAUGCUUCAAAGUCCACUUCCAAUAGGAAUUUUCAUCUAAAGUUGGAGAAAUACUGCCACAUUGGAGAUUAGACAGUUUGAGGUAUGGUGGCAGAUUGCUCUGAUUUGAAAUUUUGCUCAGUGCCACUUUAAAAGAUAACCUUACUGAAAAUUAGGUUCUAAAAUGUGACAGUUGGGUAGGAUGUAAGAAAGCACUUUUAAACUAGCUGGGGUAAUUUGCAUGCAGUGAUGGUUUAUAGUUGAUGUUUGCUUGAGUGGUAGCCAUCUAGUUUUUGAUAGUUGGUAAAUCAAAGCACAGAAAAGGAAUUCCACAAAUCUGAAAAUUUUAAUUCUAUGUAAUAGUAUCCAGCUCAAAGUGGCAAAAUCAGACAGCUUGUAUAUUAAUUGUAUCCUGUUAGGUAAUGACUUUCAAAUAGAUAGCAAUUUGUGAAGUUUUGGGGGUUUUUUUUUUGCCUUCGUCGAAAUUAUGUAUGUCCCCCUUUUCCCCCAUUGAUCUCCACCCAAGACUGAAGCUUUGCCCCAGGUGGUUUGUCUUGGUGAAUAUAGUGUUGGCCUACAAAGGUUUCGGGUUUGGUUCUGGUCAAGGGCACAUGCCAGGUUUACUGGCUUAAUCCCCAGUAGGGGGCGGGCAGGAGGCAAUUUAAUGAUUAUCAUUGAUGUUUCUCUCUGAAAUAAAAAUAUUUCUUGAAUUAGGUAGGCCUUGACAGUACUAGCUGAGACAUUUGAGGGGUGUGAAAAGGCUAAAAUUUCUCUAGUUCAUGAGGGAAGUAGCCCCCUUAAGUUUUUUGUAAUUUGCUUAUUUGUACAGGUGAGAAAAAAUUGGCCAGCUUAAGCGGUAGCUGAUAUAAAAACAAAUUUGUCACAGCUGUAGGAUUUACUAGAAUAAGAUUGUUCCAGCCCCCCCCCGCAAUGUUUAACUGCAGAGAGCACCACUAUUUGAAAGGGUAGGAAGGAGGGUGACCAGAAACCGGGUAUCUGUAGGCUUGCCAAGACAAUUGCCUGGUUUUGAGCACCACCUACUGGUCACUACAAACUAGUUUUACAUUCAUGAACAAAGUUAAAUUUUUGUUCUGAGGUUCUACACUAAUGGCAUUUCGUUGUGUUGUCAUCAAUGUAAAGAUCUCAAGAUCCUGUUGAAAUUCCCGGGAAUUCUGGUGUUUUUAGGAUAUGGAAAAGGGCAUUCAGGUGUUAAACAUAGAUUGCCUUUAAGGCAUAUCUUUUUAACAUCUUAAGCCCAAAACAGUCAAUGCAGUAUAACCAGAUUUUUUUAUCAUUUCAGAACACAAUUUAUGCCCUCCCCUUCCCUAAUUUACCUCCCAAGUUUCAGGUGCAUCAAGAACUCAGCUUUCUGGAUCAAGGACCCAGUCUGGUGAUGACAAUUCUGAUCUAACAUGUAACCCAGUCUCUGCUCUUUUUUAGUCUCUGAUUUUGUCAUGAAGAAUGCAUAUGGUUUUAGUGACAGCAUUUAUAUCUUCCUGUGGUGAUUCUAGAAGACUUAAUUCAACCAGAGGUUUUGAUUUGUAGAUAUCCCUGGCCCUGAUCAGAUUACUUGCAGCUAACUAAAAGUUCCCCCAUGGCACUAUUAGACAACUAAAAUCACCUUA